This 419-nucleotide ribosomal RNA is filed under the name uncultured microorganism. RNAcentral describes it as "bacterial SSU rRNA". It matches the Rfam family "Bacterial small subunit ribosomal RNA", at positions 9 to 418 of the family's 1533-position model. The record is from RNAcentral.
GAGUUUGAUCGUGGCUCAGGACGAACGCUGGCGGCGUGCCUAAUACAUGCAAGUCGAGCGGAUCUUCAUUAGCUUGCUUUUGAAGAUCAGCGGCGGACGGGUGAGUAACACGUGGGCAACCUGCCUGUAAGACUGGGAUAACUUCGGGAAACCGGAGCUAAUACCGGAUGAUCCUUUUCCUCUCAUGAGGAAAAGCUGAAAGACGGUUUCGGCUGUCACUUACAGAUGGGCCCGCGGCGCAUUAGCUAGUUGGUGAGGUAACGGCUCACCAAGGCGACGAUGCGUAGCCGACCUGAGAGGGUGAUCGGCCACACUGGGACUGAGACACGGCCCAGACUCCUACGGGAGGCAGCAGUAGGGAAUCUUCCGCAAUGGACGAAAGUCUGACGGAGCAACGCCGCGUGAGCGAUGAAGGCCUU